This 497-nucleotide ribosomal RNA is filed under the name uncultured bacterium. RNAcentral describes it as "partial 16S ribosomal RNA". It matches the Rfam family "Bacterial small subunit ribosomal RNA", at positions 28 to 507 of the family's 1533-position model. The record is from RNAcentral.
GAUGAACGCUGGCGGCGUGCCUAAUACAUGCAAGUCGAGCGAACGGACGAGAAGCUUGCUUCUCUGAUGUUAGCGGCGGACGGGUGAGUAACACGUGGAUAACCUACCUAUAAGACUGGGAUAACUUCGGGAAACCGGAGCUAAUACCGGAUAAUAUUUUGAACCGCAUGGUUCAAAAGUGAAAGACGGUCUUGCUGUCACUUAUAGAUGGAUCCGCGCUGCAUUAGCUAGUUGGUAAGGUAACGGCUUACCAAGGCAACGAUGCAUAGCCGACCUGAGAGGGUGAUCGGCCACACUGGAAGUGAGACACGGUCCAGACUCCUACGGGAGGCAGCAGUAGGGAACCUUCCGCAAUGGGCGAAAGCCUGACGGAGCAACGCCGCGUGAGUGAUGAAGGUCUUCGGAUCGUAAAACUCUGUUAUUAGGGAAGAACAUAUGUGUAAGUAACUGUGCACAUCUUGACGGUACCUAAUCAGAAAGCCACGGCUAACUACGUG